GAUGAACGCUGGCGGCGUGCUUAACACAUGCAAGUCGAACGAAGCAAUUAGAACGGAUUACUUCGGUUUGAAGUUCUUUAUGACUGAGUGGCGGACGGGUGAGUAACGCGUGGGUAACCUGCCUUGUACUGGGGGAUGGCAGCUGGAAACGGCUGGUAAUACCGCAUAAGCGCACAAUGUUGCAUGACAUGGUGUGAAAAACUCCGGUGGUAUAAGAUGGACCCGCGUCUGAUUAGCUAGUUGGUGAGAUAACAGCCCACCAAGGCGACGAUCAGUAGCCGACCUGAGAGGGUGACCGGCCACAUUGGGACUGAGACACGGCCCAGACUCCUACGGGAAGCAGCAGUGGGGAAUACUGCACAAUGGAGGAAACUCUGAUGCAGCGACGCCGCGUGAGUGAAGAAGUAAUUCGUUAUGUAAAGCUCUAUCAGCAGGGAAGAUAGUGACGGUACCUGACUAAGAAGCUCCGGCUAAAUACGUGCCAGCAGCCGCGGUAA
Molecule: ribosomal RNA, 497 nt
Filed under: uncultured bacterium
Lineage: Bacteria
Description: partial 16S ribosomal RNA
Rfam family: Bacterial small subunit ribosomal RNA
Source: RNAcentral